RNAcentral lists this ribosomal RNA (885 nucleotides) under Streptococcus infantis. RNAcentral describes it as "bacterial SSU rRNA". It matches the Rfam family "Bacterial small subunit ribosomal RNA", at positions 11 to 880 of the family's 1533-position model. The record is from RNAcentral. Lineage: Bacteria; Bacillati; Bacillota; Bacilli; Lactobacillales; Streptococcaceae.
GUUUGAUCCUGGCUCAGAUUGAACGCUGGCGGAACGCUUUACACAUGCAAGUCGAACGGUAACGCGGAGAGAAGCUUGCUUCUCUCCGGCGACGAGUGGCGAACGGGUGAGUAAUACAUCGGAACGUGUCCGCUCGUGGGGGACAACCAGCCGAAAGGUUGGCUAAUACCGCAUGAGUUCUACGGAAGAAAGAGGGGGACCCGCAAGGGCCUCUCGCGAGCGGAGCGGCCGAUGACUGAUUAGCCGGUUGGUGAGGUAACGGCUCACCAAAGCAACGAUCAGUAGCUGGUCUGAGAGGACGACCAGCCACACUGGGACUGAGACACGGCCCAGACUCCUACGGGAGGCAGCAGUGGGGAAUUUUGGACAAUGGGCGCAAGCCUGAUCCAGCUAUUCCGCGUGUGGGAUGAAGGCCCUCGGGUUGUAAACCACUUUUGUAGAGAACGAAAAGACACCUUCGAAUAAAGGGUGUUGCUGACGGUACUCUAAGAAUAAGCACCGGCUAACUACGUGCCAGCAGCCGCGGUAAUACGUAGGGUGCGAGCGUUAAUCGGAAUUACUGGGCGUAAAGGGUGCGCAGGCGGUUGAGUAAGACAGAUGUGAAAUCCCCGAGCUUAACUCGGGAAUGGCAUAUGUGACUGCUCGACUAGAGUGUGUCAGAGGGAGGUGGAAUUCCACGUGUAGCAGUGAAAUGCGUAGAUAUGUGGAAGAACACCGAUGGCGAAGGCAGCCUCCUGGGACAUAACUGACGCUCAGGCACGAAAGCGUGGGGAGCAAACAGGAUUAGAUACCCUGGUAGUCCACGCCCUAAACGAUGUUAACUAGUUGUUGGGAAGUAAUAUUCUCAGUAACGCAGCCAACGCGAGAAGUUAACCGCCUGGGAAG